CGGGGCAUGGCGCAGCCUGGUAGCGCAUCUGCUUUGGGAGCAGAGGGUCGGGAGUUCGAAUCUCUCUGCCCCGACCA
RNAcentral lists this transfer RNA (77 nucleotides) under Woeseia oceani. Its description in RNAcentral is "tRNA-Pro". It matches the Rfam family "tRNA". From Rfam's summary of the family: Transfer RNA (tRNA) molecules are approximately 80 nucleotides in length. Their secondary structure includes four short double-helical elements and three loops (D, anti-codon, and T loops). Lineage: Bacteria; Pseudomonadati; Pseudomonadota; Gammaproteobacteria; Woeseiales; Woeseiaceae. The record is from RNAcentral. RNAcentral also lists the same sequence under 6 other names.